This 497-nucleotide ribosomal RNA is filed under the name uncultured bacterium. RNAcentral's name for it is "partial 16S ribosomal RNA". It matches the Rfam family "Bacterial small subunit ribosomal RNA", at positions 28 to 507 of the family's 1533-position model. The record is from RNAcentral.
GAUGAACGCUGGCGGCGUGCCUAAUACAUGCAAGUCGAGCGAACAGACGAGGAGCUUGCUCCUCUGACGUUAGCGGCGGACGGGUGAGUAACACGUGGAUAACCUACCUAUAAGACUGGGAUAACUUCGGGAAACCGGAGCUAAUACCGGAUAAUAUAUUGAACCGCAUGGUUCAAUAGUGAAAGACGGUUUUGCUGUCACUUAUAGAUGGAUCCGCGCCGCAUUAGCUAGUUGGUAAGGUAACGGCUUACCAAGGCAACGAUGCGUAGCCGACCUGAGAGGGUGAUCGGCCACACUGGAACUGAGACACGGUCCAGACUCCUACGGGAGGCAGCAGUAGGGAAUCUUCCGCAAAGGGCGAAAGCCUGACGGAGCAACGCCGCGUGAGUGAUGAAGGUCUUCGGAUCGUAAAACUCUGUUAUUAGGGAAGAACAAAUGUGUAAGUAACUAUGCACGUCUUGACAGUACCUAAUCAGAAAGCCACGGCUAACUACGUG